UCUUUUUUUAAAAAAAUCAUUUUUAAUUUUUAUUAAAUUCAAAUUUUAAUGUGAAUAAUCUAAAAAUAAUCUUUAAAAUUAAAAGCAAUAAAAAUAAAACGAAAAGUCAUGAAUAAGCAAUUUUACGAAAAAAAAAAUAAAAAUAUUUCAUGUGUGUUUCAUUUAUGAAUUUAAAUAAAUUAAGAAAAAAAUAAAUAUAUAUGUAUAUAUGUGUGUAUAUACACAUGCAUGUAGCCGCAUAAAAUUCUAUAUAUGUAAUCUUAUAAUCCAAAAAUAGAAUUAAACUCGAGAAAAUAAGCGAAGGAAAAAAAAUUAAUUAUACAAAAUAUCCAAGUAGUUUUUUUUUAAAGUAAGUGAGUGAGUGCAUAAAUUUAAGGAAAUAAAAAAAGAAGAAAAAUACCCACGAUAAUUGAAUAACUAUUUUAAUAUCAAAAACAGUGUUUACGUCAGUUCUUAUUCAUUUGAAAUCAAACAAAAAAAUAAAUAAAACAUAAAUAAUACGAUAUCUACGAUAUUAUUUUAAACGGAAAAUUUGUUUUAAGAAAAAACAUAAGAAACGAAUUUUUAGUGAGAUUCUCUGUAAUAUUUUGUUGGAAUUCCUAUUACUUACAAAUUUUUUUUUUGGUUUUCAACUUGUUCAGCUAACAACUAAGUCUAGCAAAGAGCUUAAACAUUUUAAAGUAAAAAAAAAAAAAUAAUAAUAAUAAUAAUAAUAAUAAUAAGUAACUAAAUAACAAAGAAAUACAAAAUUAAGUAUAGCUAAGCUACUAUACACAAUUGUUGAUCUGCUGUUCUGCUGUUCUGCUUUGCUCAUUUUAUUCUUCACUCAACCUCAACCUCCAAGAUUGCAAAAUGGCGGAUUCCUAUUACCAGGUAUGUGGAAACUUCUUUUUUAAUUUCUCUAUAACUAAAUUGGACAGUAAGUAUAAGAGUGUUAUUUUAAUAUUGUAAUAUAAAAAAUAUUUUUAUACUAGGUAUGUAUGGUUGAAAU
This is a long non-coding RNA of Condylostylus longicornis, 991 nucleotides long. RefSeq lists it as uncharacterized. The record is from RefSeq and is a predicted model, not a curated record. The transcript has 3 exons. Lineage: Eukaryota; Metazoa; Arthropoda; Insecta; Diptera; Dolichopodidae.